RNAcentral lists this ribosomal RNA (397 nucleotides) under uncultured bacterium. Its description in RNAcentral is "bacterial SSU rRNA". It matches the Rfam family "Bacterial small subunit ribosomal RNA", at positions 28 to 429 of the family's 1533-position model. The record is from RNAcentral.
GACGAACGCUGGCGGCGUGCUUAACACAUGCAAGUCGAGCGGUAAGGCCCUUUCGGGGGUACACGAGCGGCGAACGGGUGAGUAACACGUGGGUGACCUGCCCUCAGCUCUGGGAUAAGCCUGGGAAACCGGGUCUAAUACUGGAUAUGACUCCAUGACGCAUGUUGUGGGGUGGAAAGCCUUGUGCGGCUGAGGAUGGGCCCGCGGCCUAUCAGCUUGUUGGUGGGGUGANGGCCUACCAAGGCGACGACGGGUAGCCGGCCUGAGAGGGCGACCGGCCACACUGGGACUGAGACACGGCCCAGACUCCUACGGGAGGCAGCAGUGGGGAAUCUUGCGCAGUGGGCGAAAGCCUGACGCAGCGACGCCGCGUGAGGGAUGACGGCCUCGGUGUAAC